RNAcentral lists this unclassified non-coding RNA (285 nucleotides) under Hevea brasiliensis (rubber tree). Lineage: Eukaryota; Viridiplantae; Streptophyta; Magnoliopsida; Malpighiales; Euphorbiaceae. The record is from RNAcentral.
AAAUCCAAAGGACCAAGAGAUUAAUUAAUUACCAGUAAUGCCCCUAAAACAUAAAGAAGGCAAGUAACAAGUGAGAAUAACUUAAUGCUUGAUAGUAGUGAUAUAAAUGGCACAAAAAAACAAAAUAAUAAAUUCAAAGAAUAUAGCAGCAGCAGGGGCUGCCAUCUGCCAGAAAGGUCAUGUACAUGGCCCUAUGUGACAGUCAAAUUUUACAUGCUUAAUCACCUUAAUUGCACGAGAGACAGACACUGAUUGUUUCAAAGCAGCGCCAAGAUAAAAGACUAG